GGGUCAUGGUAUUUGGGAAAAUUCUUCAUUGUCUUCCUCUUCAUUCUGAGAUGAAGUUGUUUCACUUUCUUCUUCGAGUAUCUGUAACAGCUGCUUUUUGAGUUCUUCUUUAGUAGCUUGAGGAUUUUGCUUUUUCAUUUUGUUGACAUAUUAUGCAAAGCUAUUUGGAUGCUCAUUUGGUAUUUGGUUUGGAAUUUUCUUCAUUUUGAUUUUCUCUUGGUCAAGGGACUUAAGAAUCAAACACGUCCCACCAUUUUAUGAAUAUUUUCUUUCCAAGCCUGGGAAUGUAUUCCCAAUCAUUUGUUGUAUUUUCUGAUAUUGCAUAUUCC
This 329-nucleotide long non-coding RNA is filed under the name Amborella trichopoda. RNAcentral's name for it is "long non-coding RNA (ATRI_LNC003593)". The record is from RNAcentral. Lineage: Eukaryota; Viridiplantae; Streptophyta; Magnoliopsida; Amborellales; Amborellaceae.